RNAcentral lists this transfer RNA (84 nucleotides) under Acinetobacter pittii. RNAcentral's name for it is "tRNA-Leu". It matches the Rfam family "tRNA". From Rfam's summary of the family: Transfer RNA (tRNA) molecules are approximately 80 nucleotides in length. RNAcentral also lists the same sequence under 1 other name. Lineage: Bacteria; Pseudomonadati; Pseudomonadota; Gammaproteobacteria; Moraxellales; Moraxellaceae. The record is from RNAcentral.
GGGGCGUGGCGAAAUUGGUAGACGCACUGGAUUUAGGUUCCAGCGCCGCAAGGUGUAAGAGUUCGAGUCUCUUCGCCCCCACCA